This 114-nucleotide microRNA precursor is filed under the name Marmota monax (woodchuck). Lineage: Eukaryota; Metazoa; Chordata; Mammalia; Rodentia; Sciuridae. The record is from RNAcentral.
UGUGUGUGUGUGUGUGUGUAUGUGUGUGUGUGUUUGUGUUACUGGAGAUUGAACCCGGGGUGCUCUACCACUGAACUAAAUCUACACACACACACACACACACACACACACACC